GUGGAUUAGAUACCCUAGUAGUCCACGCCCUAAACGAUGCGAACUGGAUGUUGGGUGCAACUUGGCACUCAGUAUCGAAGCUAACGCGUUAAGUUCGCCGCCUGGGAAGUACGGUCGCAAGACUGAAACUCAAAGGAAUUGACGGGGGCCCGCACAAGCGGUGGAGUAUGUGGUUUAAUUCGAUGCAACGCGAAGAACCUUACCUGGCCUUGACAUGUCUGGAAUCCUUGAGAGAUCAGGGAGUGCCUUCGGGAACCAGAACACAGGUGCUGCACGGCCGUCGCCAGCU
RNAcentral lists this ribosomal RNA (289 nucleotides) under uncultured bacterium. RNAcentral's name for it is "partial 16S ribosomal RNA". It matches the Rfam family "Bacterial small subunit ribosomal RNA", at positions 773 to 1060 of the family's 1533-position model. The record is from RNAcentral.